This 484-nucleotide ribosomal RNA is filed under the name uncultured bacterium. RNAcentral describes it as "bacterial SSU rRNA". It matches the Rfam family "Bacterial small subunit ribosomal RNA", at positions 1 to 507 of the family's 1533-position model. The record is from RNAcentral.
CGACGUAGUUGAUCCUGGCUCGAGGACGACGCUGGCGGCGUGCCUAACACAUGCAAGUCGAACGGGGUAAAGACUUCGGUUUUACUUUGUGGCGAACGGGUGAGUAACGCGUGGGUAACCUGCCUCACACUGGGGGGAUAACAGUUAGAAAUGACUGCUAAUACCGCAUAAGCGCACAGUGCCGCAUGGCACGGUGUGAAAAACUCCGGUGGUAUGAGAUGGACCCGCGUCUGAUUAGCUAGUUGGUGGGGUAACGGCCUACCAAGGCGACGAUCAGUAGCCGACCUGAGAGGGUGACCGGCCACAUUGGGACUGAGACACGGCCCAAACUCCUACGGGAGGCAGCAGUGGGGAAUAUUGCACAAUGGGGGAAACCCUGAUGCAGCGACGCCGCGUGAGCGAUGAAGUAUUUCGGUAUGUAAAGCUCUAUCAGCAGGGAAGAAAAAUGACGGUACCUGACUAAGAAGCACCGGCUAAAUACGUG